Amphimedon queenslandica is the source of this 284-nucleotide long non-coding RNA. RefSeq lists it as uncharacterized. The record is from RefSeq and is a predicted model, not a curated record. Lineage: Eukaryota; Metazoa; Porifera; Demospongiae; Haplosclerida; Niphatidae. The transcript has 3 exons.
AUCAUAUAUUAAUAAUGAAGAAUAUACCAGCUCAUUAAUAUUGACCAGUAUCAGUAGUACAGUAAUAUUAACAACGAUUGAACCCUCUUCAUCUCCUGUCAGUGUUGGUCUAUCAUUAAUAAUAACAACAGUAAUGAUUGGAUUAACUGCAGUAUUGUUCAUAAUAUCAAUAAUAAUAUUAGCCACACUCUCAGUAUAUGCACUGUAUCAUAACAAGGCAAUGGCUAAGAAUAGCAACAGGUACAAUAUAAGAUAAAAAGGAAAGUUUAUAUUUAAUUUUUUUA